RNAcentral lists this ribosomal RNA (502 nucleotides) under Bacillus sp. (in: firmicutes). Its description in RNAcentral is "bacterial SSU rRNA". It matches the Rfam family "Bacterial small subunit ribosomal RNA", at positions 23 to 508 of the family's 1533-position model. The record is from RNAcentral. Lineage: Bacteria; Bacillati; Bacillota; Bacilli; Caryophanales; Bacillaceae.
CUCAGGACGAACGCUGGCGGCGUGCCUAAUACAUGCAAGUCGAGCGAAUCGAUGGGAGCUUGCUCCCUGAGAUUAGCGGCGGACGGGUGAGUAACACGUGGGCAACCUGCCUAUAAGACUGGGAUAACUUCGGGAAACCGGAGCUAAUACCGGAUACGUUCUUUUCUCGCAUGAGAGAAGAUGGAAAGACGGUUUACGCUGUCACUUAUAGAUGGGCCCGCGGCGCAUUAGCUAGUUGGUGAGGUAAUGGCUCACCAAGGCGACGAUGCGUAGCCGACCUGAGAGGGUGAUCGGCCACACUGGGACUGAGACACGGCCCAGACUCCUACGGGAGGCAGCAGUAGGGAAUCUUCCGCAAUGGACGAAAGUCUGACGGAGCAACGCCGCGUGAACGAAGAAGGCCUUCGGGUCGUAAAGUUCUGUUGUUAGGGAAGAACAAGUACCAGAGUAACUGCUGGUACCUUGACGGUACCUAACCAGAAAGCCACGGCUAACUACGUGC